RNAcentral lists this transfer RNA (68 nucleotides) under Marmota monax (woodchuck). Its description in RNAcentral is "tRNA.Val". The record is from RNAcentral. Lineage: Eukaryota; Metazoa; Chordata; Mammalia; Rodentia; Sciuridae.
GGCUUGCGGCUCAGUGGUAGAGUGCUUGUCUGACAUGUAUGAGGCACUGGGUUUGAUCCUCAGCACCA